UACGAAGGGGGCUAGCGUUGUUCGGAAUUACUGGGCGUAAAGCGCGCGCAGGCGGCUAUCCAAGUCAGUGGUGAAAGCCCGGAGCUCAACUCCGGAACUGCCAUUGAAACUGUUUAGCUUGAGGAUGAGAGAGGUGAGUGGAAUUCCCAGUGUAGAGGUGAAAUUCGUAGAUAUUGGGAAGAACACCGGUGGCGAAGGCGGCGACCUGGGCAGAUACUGACACUGAGGUGCGAAAGCGUGGGGAGCAAACAGG
RNAcentral lists this ribosomal RNA (253 nucleotides) under uncultured bacterium. RNAcentral describes it as "partial 16S ribosomal RNA". It matches the Rfam family "Bacterial small subunit ribosomal RNA", at positions 524 to 776 of the family's 1533-position model. The record is from RNAcentral.